AUGGCCGCCAUCUAGGAACUCGACUAAGUCCAGGAGCAGAGGUUAACAAAAGCUUUAACUUGUGAUUUAAGGAAAAAAGACUCUUUAAUUUAAAUUCCUAGAGGUCUCAGGACUACAGAACAACCCUGAAACUCUGCAUGUGCUUUGAUGCUAUCCUCUUGAGAAAUUGACAUGACAAUGACCUUUGGGAGACCACCCUGCCUGACCCAGAUACUCAACAUUCUUAAGAACUGACCACCUUGAGGAUCGGAGGUACAUGAUUCUUGACAAAC
Long non-coding RNA from Trichechus manatus latirostris (Florida manatee), 272 nucleotides. RefSeq lists it as uncharacterized. The record is from RefSeq and is a predicted model, not a curated record. Lineage: Eukaryota; Metazoa; Chordata; Mammalia; Sirenia; Trichechidae. The transcript has 3 exons.